RNAcentral lists this ribosomal RNA (224 nucleotides) under uncultured bacterium. RNAcentral's name for it is "partial 16S ribosomal RNA". It matches the Rfam family "Bacterial small subunit ribosomal RNA", at positions 116 to 334 of the family's 1533-position model. The record is from RNAcentral.
CGUGGGUAACCUGCCCCGAUGACCGGGAUAACCCGAGGAAACUCGGGCUAAUACCGGAUGUGUUCUCUGCGCAUCAGCGCGGAAAGCAAAGGAAGCUUCGGCCUCCGCAUCGGGAUGGGCCCGCGGCCCAUUAGCUUGUUGGUGAGGUAAAGGCUCACCAAGGCAACGAUGGGUAGCUGGUCUGAGAGGACGAUCAGCCACACUGGGACUGAGACACGGCCCAG